UAGGGAAUAUUAGUAAUGGGCGAAAGCCUGAACUAGCAACACCGCGUGUGCGAAGAAGGCCUUCGGGUUGUAAAGCACUUUUUGAGAGGAUGAGGAAGGACGGUACUCUCAGAAUAAGUCUCGGCUAACUACGUGCCAGCAGCCGCGGUAACACGUAGGAGGCAAACGUUAUCCGGAUUUACUGGGCGUAAAGCGCGUGUAGGUGGUUUGGUAAGUAGAGCGUGAAAGCUCCUGGCUCAACUGGGCGGAAAGCGCGCGUAGGUGGUGUGGUAAGUAGAGCGUGAAAGCGCCUGGCUCAACUGGGUAAGGGCGUUCGAAACUGCCGGACUAGAGGAUGGGAGGGGGAGGUGGAAUUCCGGGUGUAGCGGUGGAAUGCGCAGAUAUCCGGAGGAACACCAGUGGCGAAAGCGGCCUCCUGGACCACUCCUGACACUCAGACGCGAAAGCUAGGGUAGCAAACG
RNAcentral lists this ribosomal RNA (461 nucleotides) under uncultured prokaryote. RNAcentral describes it as "bacterial SSU rRNA". It matches the Rfam family "Bacterial small subunit ribosomal RNA", at positions 355 to 774 of the family's 1533-position model. The record is from RNAcentral.